This 428-nucleotide ribosomal RNA is filed under the name uncultured bacterium. Its description in RNAcentral is "bacterial SSU rRNA". It matches the Rfam family "Bacterial small subunit ribosomal RNA", at positions 354 to 796 of the family's 1533-position model. The record is from RNAcentral.
GUGGGGAAUAUUGGGCAAUGGGCGAAAGCCUGACCCAGCAACGCCGCGUGAGGGAAGAAGGCCUUCGGGUUGUAAACCUCUGUCCUUGGUGACGAAAAAAAUGACGGUAGCCAAGGAGGAAGCCCCGGCUAACUACGUGCCAGCAGCCGCGGUAAUACGUAUGGUGCGAGCGUUGUCCGGACUUACUGGGCGUAACGGGUGCGUAGGUGGCCUUUUAAGUUGGAUGUGAAAUCCCCUGGCUUAACUGGGGGGGUGCAUCUAAUACUGGAGGGCUAGAGUGCAGGAGAGGGAAGCGGAAUUCCUAGUGUAGCGGUGAAAUGCGUAGAUAUUAGGAGGAACACCAGUGGCGAAGGCGGCUUUCUGGACUGUAACUGACACUGAGGCACGAAAGCGUGGGGAGCAAACAGGAUUAGAUACCCGUGUAGUCC